RNAcentral lists this ribosomal RNA (156 nucleotides) under Triticum aestivum (bread wheat). Its description in RNAcentral is "partial small subunit ribosomal RNA". The record is from RNAcentral. Lineage: Eukaryota; Viridiplantae; Streptophyta; Magnoliopsida; Poales; Poaceae.
CUCGAUUCGUUAGAACAACUUCCAUUGAGUCUCUGCACCUAUCCUUUUACUUUGUAUUCUAGUUCGAGAACCACUAUUUUCUCAAAACAUGGAUUUGGCUAAGGAUUGCCCUUUUUUAAUUCCAGGGUUUCUCUGAAUUUGGAAGUUACCACUUAG